Molecule: ribosomal RNA, 253 nt
Filed under: uncultured bacterium
Lineage: Bacteria
Description: partial 16S ribosomal RNA
Rfam family: Bacterial small subunit ribosomal RNA
Source: RNAcentral
GACAGAGGGUGCCAACGUGGUUCGGAAUUACUGGGCGUAAAGCGCGUGUAGGCUGCUUGGCAAGUCGGGUGUGAAAGCCCUGGGCUCAACCCAGGAAGUGCACUCGAAACUUCCGAGCUCGAGUUCUGGAGAGGAUAGCGGAAUUCUCGGUGUAGAGGUGAAAUUCGUAGAUAUCGAGAGGAACACCGGUGGCGAAGGCGGCUAGCUGGACAGAAACUGACGCUGAGACGCGAAAGCGUGGGGAGCAAACAGG